CCUGAGAUGCAAAACGGGGAGGGGGGGAGACUUCUCUCGACCUCUCGGACUCCUUUCUCUGGCUUCGGAGAACGCUAUAGCUUCUGUAGCUGGAGCGUAGUCUCAAACCUGUGGACUUCUUACACCCUGGGAAAGCAUAUUGACCAGAGUGCUACCUUCCAGCAAGGGUGGUCAACAGAACAUCACUCACUCUCUUUGUUAAGUAACUGUCGGUCCAGAGAACCAGGUAAGCAUCUACAGUAUGUCUGCUGUUGAAUCUUUUACCUUGCAGGAUCUGCUUCAAAUGAGCAGAGGGAUUUUUUUUUCUUCCCAAAAAGUCAUGUGUAAGGUUGAGCUGAGGACUUUUUCAGUCAUUAGCAGCUCACCUUGUGAAAAGCAGCUCUGCUCUGUCUGAUUUGUCUACCUCACAUAACAUACUGGCUUCUUCAUCAUCAUUUGCUUAGAACUGCAGAGCUGGAAGGGACCCUAUUGAUCAUCAAGUCCAGCCCUGGCUAGGAGGCACCAUGGGGAAUCAAACUCCCAACCUCUCACUCCGCAGUCAGAGACCUAAACCACUGAACUAUACUAAAGCUCUACAAGGUCUUGCUCCUGUGCAGAGGACCUACCUUGACUUGCUAAGCUAGUCUCUCCCACACUUAGCUUGCUAAAUUAAUCUCUUAUGCACUUCAGAGUGAUCUACUUGGAUGCAGGAGUGAUUGAAAUAUCAUUUGCCAGUGUAACUUCUGCUACUGCUGCUGCACGAUAUCUUCCCUUCAAAAUUUGUCCACCUAGUAUAGUGACUGCUUCACCCUCAUUUGCUUACCCUCAAGCCAUCACCACCUCCUGCAAUCUGAAUCCAGUCCUCUAGAGUUCAUCCAGGACUUGCAACCAGCAGCCUGGAUAUCAAAACCCACGAAGUGUCACUAGUUUGUUUCUUCUGAGUUAAUAUUUCAUCACCAUACUUCUGAAGUAAAUGUAUUUUAAUAUCUAGUCUCUUGCUUUACUUAGAUCACUGCUUGCCAGUUCACUGUUUACAGUUUUGCAGUAUUAUUUGCUUUUCUCCAGUGCCACACAUUUUUUGUGUGUUCAACAGAAUUCCUCUGUUGAAUUGUUCUGUGUGAAUUUAAUUUAAUUGGCUCAGUCUGUGUCAUGAUGCACUGUAGCCAUGGCUCAAAGAUCCCUCCUUACAGGCCCAUAUUCACAGAAUACGUAAGAGUUUUCACAUGUUCUCUGAGACUGUACCUGGUAGCAGUGUGUAUGCUUUCU
This 1245-nucleotide long non-coding RNA is filed under the name Pogona vitticeps (central bearded dragon). RNAcentral describes it as "lncRNA (ENSPVIG00000019441.1)". Lineage: Eukaryota; Metazoa; Chordata; Lepidosauria; Squamata; Agamidae. The record is from RNAcentral.